RNAcentral lists this ribosomal RNA (763 nucleotides) under uncultured Streptococcus sp. RNAcentral's name for it is "bacterial SSU rRNA". It matches the Rfam family "Bacterial small subunit ribosomal RNA", at positions 28 to 776 of the family's 1533-position model. Lineage: Bacteria; Bacillati; Bacillota; Bacilli; Lactobacillales; Streptococcaceae. The record is from RNAcentral.
GACGAANGCUGGCGGCGUGCCUAAUACAUGCAAGUAGAACGCUGAAGGAGGAGCUUGCUUCUCUGGAUGAGUUGCGAACGGGUGAGUAACGCGUAGGUAACCUGCCUGGUAGCGGGGGAUAACUAUUGGUAACGAUAGCUAAUACCGCAUAAGAGUAGAUGUUGCAUGACAUUUGCUUAAAAGGUGCAAUUGCAUCACUACCAGAUGGACCUGCGUUGUAUUAGCUAGUUGGUGGGGUAACGGCUCACCAAGGCGACGAUACAUAGCCGACCUGAGAGGGUGAUCGGCCACACUGGGACUGAGACACGGCCCAGACUCCUACGGGAGGCAGCAGUAGGGAAUCUUCGGCAAUGGACGGAAGUCUGACCGAGCAACGCCGCGUGAGUGAAGAAGGUUUUCGGAUCGUAAAGCUCUGUUGUAAGAGAAGAACGAGUGUGAGAGUGGGAAGUUCACACUGUGACGGUAUCUUACCAGAAAGGGACGGCUAACUACGUGCCAGCAGCCGCGGUAAUACGUAGGUCCCGAGCGUUGUCCGGAUUUAUUGGGCGUAAAGCGAGCGCAGGCGGUUAGAUAAGUCUGAAGUUAAAGGCUGUGGCUUAACCAUAGUACGCUUUGGAAACUGUUUAACUUGAGUGCAAGAGGGGAGAGUGGAAUUCCAUGUGUAGCGGUGAAAUGCGUAGAUAUAUGGAGGAACACCGGUGGCGAAAGCGGCUCUCUGGCUUGUAACUGACGCNGAGGCUCGAAAGCGUGGGGAGCAAACAGG